RNAcentral lists this long non-coding RNA (454 nucleotides) under Salmo salar (Atlantic salmon). RNAcentral's name for it is "lncRNA (ENSSSAG00000120544.1)". The record is from RNAcentral. Lineage: Eukaryota; Metazoa; Chordata; Actinopteri; Salmoniformes; Salmonidae.
CAGCAGUAAAAUAACAAUAGUGAGGUUUUAUACAGGGGUACCUGUACAGAGUCAAUGUGGAGGCUAUAUACAGGGGGUACCAGUACAGAGUCAAUGUGGAGGCUAUAUACAGGAGGUACCAGUACAGAGUCAAUGUGGAGGCUAUAUACAGGGGUACCGGUACAGAGUCAAUGUGGAGGCUAUAUACAGGGGGUACCGGUACAGAGUCAAUGUGGAGGCUAUAUAAGUAAUAUGUACAUGUAGGUGGAGUUGUUAAAGUGACUAUGCAUAGAUAAUAACAGAGUAGCAGCAGCAUAGAAGAGGGGGGGAGAGACAAUGCAAAUAGUCUGUAAAGCCAUUUGAUACAAUUUUCAGGAGUCUUAUGUCUUGGGGGUAGAAGCUGUUUAGAAGCCUCUUGAACCUAGACUUGGGGCACCGGUACCACUUGCCGUGCGGUAGCAGAGAGAACAGUCUG